This 439-nucleotide ribosomal RNA is filed under the name uncultured bacterium. RNAcentral's name for it is "partial 16S ribosomal RNA". It matches the Rfam family "Bacterial small subunit ribosomal RNA", at positions 339 to 795 of the family's 1533-position model. The record is from RNAcentral.
CUACGGGUUGCUCCAGUGGGGAAUAUUGGACAAUGGGCGCAAGCCUGAUCCAGCCAUGCCGCGUGGAUGAUGAAGGCCUUAGGGUUGUAAAGUCCUUUUAACGGGGAAGAUAAUGACGGUACCCGUAGAAUAAGCCCCGGCUAACUUCGUGCCAGCAGCCGCGGUAAUACGAAGGGGGCUAGCGUUGCUCGGAAUCACUGGGCGUAAAGCGCACGUAGGCGGCUCUUUAAGUCAGGGGUGAAAUCCUGGAGCUCAACUCCAGAACUGCCUUUGAUACUGAGGAGCUUGAGUCCGGGAGAGGUGAGUGGAACUGCGAGUGUAGAGGUGAAAUUCGUAGAUAUUCGCAAGAACACCAGUGGCGAAGGCGGCUCACUGGCCCGGUACUGACGCUGAGGUGCGAAAGCGUGGGGAGCAAACAGGAUUAGAUACCCUCGUAGUC